CAAGUCUUGACAUUGGAAUGACACCCUUAUAACUAAGGUCCUCCUACGGGACAUUCCAGACGGGUGGUGCAUGGUUGUCGUCAGCUCGUGUCGUGAGAUGUUGGGUUAAGUCCCGCAACGAGCGCAACCCUUAUCCUUAGUAGCCAGCAGUUCGGCUGGGCACUCUGGGGAGACUGCCAGGGAUAACCUGGAGGAAGGUGGGGAUGACGUCAAAUCAUCAUGCCCCUUAUGAUUUGGGCUACACACGUGCUACAAUGGCGUAAACAAAGGGAAGCGAAGGAGCGAUCUGGAGCAAACCCCAAAAAUAACGUCUCAGUUCGGAUUGUAGUCUGCAACUCGACUACAUGAAGCUGGAAUCGCUAGUAAUCGCAGAUCAGAAUGGUGCGGUGAAUACGUUCCC
This 400-nucleotide ribosomal RNA is filed under the name uncultured bacterium. RNAcentral describes it as "bacterial SSU rRNA". It matches the Rfam family "Bacterial small subunit ribosomal RNA", at positions 975 to 1375 of the family's 1533-position model. The record is from RNAcentral.